RNAcentral lists this ribosomal RNA (253 nucleotides) under uncultured bacterium. RNAcentral's name for it is "partial 16S ribosomal RNA". It matches the Rfam family "Bacterial small subunit ribosomal RNA", at positions 524 to 776 of the family's 1533-position model. The record is from RNAcentral.
UACGGAGGAUGCGAGCGUUAUCCGGAUUUACUGGGUGUAAAGGGAGCGUAGACGGCGAUGCAAGUCUGAAGUGAAAGGCGGGGGCCCAACCCCCGGACUGCUCUGGAAACUAUGUUACUGGAGUGCAGGAGAGGUAAGCGGAAUUCCUAGUGUAGCGGUGAAAUGCUUAGAGAUCAUACAGAACACCGAUUGCGAAGGCAGCUUACCAAGCUACUUCUGACGUUGAGGCACGAAAGCGUGGGGAGCAAAAAGG